AGAAUCCUAGGUUAAAUUAAACCAUCAGCCUUCAAAGCUUAAAUUAAACUUUAUUGUUUGGAUUCUG
This 67-nucleotide transfer RNA is filed under the name Nerita costata. Its description in RNAcentral is "tRNA-Trp". It matches the Rfam family "tRNA". From Rfam's summary of the family: Transfer RNA (tRNA) molecules are approximately 80 nucleotides in length. Lineage: Eukaryota; Metazoa; Mollusca; Gastropoda; Cycloneritida; Neritidae. The record is from RNAcentral.